GGCUAGCCAUUCGUAAAGACCUAAUGGUGACCUUUAGCAUUCAACACAGGAACUGGCUCAUUCCCUUGCCAACCUGCCCCACUGUAUGUCUACAGUAUCUGUUCAGAAAAAUGCUUCUUACGUUUUAAAGAUCUUCUGUACACUCGUUUGGGAUUUCCUUCAGGCUGGCACUCAGUGAAAUAGUACUUUAUUUAAACCAGCGACGUGGUAGUAGUCGUCGGACGUACGACAAAUCAUGGCUUUUUGAGUAAACUAUAACGUCACCCCCCUCCCACGACGAAAGUGUAAACAAAGUUAACAGGUUGCCAAAGAGCCGAAGGAAUUCCUGUUCCUGUUGACCGACACGUCUCUUGUUAGUCUACCUGAGUGUCGUGUUGCAGCAAAUGCACAGCAGUAUGGUACCCGAGCCGCCUCCACCGUACCACGAGGCUGUCAACUCCGAGGGGCAACCCCCGAGUCCAAAUGGAGUCGGUUUUGGACAGGUUCCAUACCCUGUCAAUCCUCCUCCUGUCACCACCCAACCUGUCGUCACUCCUUACGGUGUCGUCGUAGAGGAGAGUGCGGCGCCCCCUGUAGCCGUAGUAGGUACUGCAGCCGCGCCUCCACAUGAUGGUAAAAGGAAACGACACAGGCAUGACCGCACAAGUGACUGGUGUGCCUGGUGCUACUGUGGUCCCGGAUGUCACUGCGGGGAUUGCGACUGUGGCGAUUGUGACUGUGGCGAUUGUGACUGUGGCAAUUGCGAUUGUGACUGCGAUUUCUAAGUUCUAACUGUAGUUUCUGGUAGCCUCCAUAGCAUGCCAUAGCGUGCUACUUUCUUUAGUAGCCGAGGCGUACUACUCAUCAUUUUAAAAUUGGUAGGAUUUUCCCUGCAGAGAUCAUCAUACUAGUAUGUAAAUAAUAAUGUACCCGUAUCCAUGCAGUUUUUAUUAUCGUACCUCAGUAAGCCUAUAUAAGUCUAUACAUGUCUCGUACCUACCAUAUGGAAGAUGUAACUUUUAAUUGAAUGAUACUUGGAAUAAAAUUUAACUUGAAAAAAAUUCAUAUCAGUUUGUAGCUGAUAUUGUGUCAUGCUGUGUGCCCCAAUCGUCUUGUGGACAUUAACAACGUGUCUAUUAAUUUGAGUUUAUUUAAAACUUUUCAACUUUUGGUAUACUGGCCGGGUUACAUUGCAAGAAUUGUUAUUAUAUUCGUCAUUAUGAUUACUGUUACCUGAAUAAAUUUAUGAUUAUACAUGUAGCUACCGUAUCUGUAUCAUAUUCUUGCUGUACGAAUAGGAAGACCCUGUAAUACGUUCAAUGUAGCUGCUAUAGCAGUUAUGCUCGUCAGACCUGAUAUAACAUUCACAAUGAAAGUUUUAUUGCAAAUUCGUGCCCGAGGGCUAAUUUCAAGUACAAAAGAAACAUUUGGUAUAAGAACAGGUAAUUCAUACACAGACUGUUAACUCUUUAAAACUACUGGGUCUGACUUCUUUUUUUGAAGACAGAGGAAGACAAAGGAUCCCACUUUUUCUGUAAUUUGUGG
This is a long non-coding RNA of Branchiostoma belcheri (Belcher's lancelet), 1524 nucleotides long. RefSeq lists it as uncharacterized. Lineage: Eukaryota; Metazoa; Chordata; Leptocardii; Amphioxiformes; Branchiostomatidae. The transcript is spliced from 3 exons. The record is from RefSeq and is a predicted model, not a curated record.